RNAcentral lists this non-coding RNA (24 nucleotides) under Mus musculus (house mouse). Lineage: Eukaryota; Metazoa; Chordata; Mammalia; Rodentia; Muridae. The record is from RNAcentral.
UCAAAGGGACAAAGGCCACGUGGG